This 485-nucleotide ribosomal RNA is filed under the name uncultured bacterium. Its description in RNAcentral is "bacterial SSU rRNA". It matches the Rfam family "Bacterial small subunit ribosomal RNA", at positions 30 to 504 of the family's 1533-position model. The record is from RNAcentral.
UGAACGCUGGCGGCAGGCUUAACACAUGCAAGUCGAGCGGUAACAUUUCUAGCUUGCUAGAAGAUGACGAGCGGCGGACGGGUGAGUAAUGCUUGGGAAUAUGCCUUUAGGUGGGGGACAACAGUUGGAAACGACUGCUAAUACCGCAUAAUGUCUACGGACCAAAGGAGGGGAUUCUUCGGAACCUUUCGCCUUUAGAUUAGCCCAAGUGAGAUUAGCUAGUAGGUAAGGUAAUGGCUUACCUAGGCGACGAUCUCUAGCUGGUUUGAGAGGAUGAUCAGCCACACUGGGACUGAGACACGGCCCAGAAUCCUACGGGAGGCAGCAGUGGGGAAUAUUGCACAAUGGGGGAAACCCUGAUGCAGCCAUGCCGCGUGUGUGAAGAAGGCCUUCGGGUUGUAAAGCACUUUCAGUCGUGAGGAAAGGUAAGUAGUUAAUAACUGCUUGCUGUGACGUUAGCGACAGAAGAAGCACCGGCUAACUCC